UCGGGAAUUUUGGACAAUGGGCGCAAGCCUGAUCCAGCCAUGCCGCGUGCAGGAUGAAGGCCUUCGGGUUGUAAACUGCUUUUGUACGGAACGAAAAGACUCUGGUUAAUACCUGGGGUCCAUGACGGUACCGUAAGAAUAAGCACCGGCUAACUACGUGCCAGCAGCCGCGGUAAUACGUAGGGACCAAGCGUUGUUCGGAUUUACUGGGCGUAAAGGGCGCGUAGGCGGCAAUUCAAGUCAUCUGUGAAAUCUCCGGGCUUAACUCGGAACGGUCAGAUGAUACUGCUUUGCUAGAGUGCAGAAGGGGCAAUCGGAAUUCUUGGUGUAGCGGUGAAAUGCGUAGAUAUCAAGAGGAACACCUGAGGUGAAGACGGGUUGCUGGGCUGACACUGACGCUGAGGCGCGAAAGCCAGGGGAGCAAACGGGAUUAGAUACCCUCGUAGUCCCUGAGCGGGCUGGCAAGGCGCAU
This 472-nucleotide ribosomal RNA is filed under the name uncultured bacterium. RNAcentral's name for it is "bacterial SSU rRNA". It matches the Rfam family "Bacterial small subunit ribosomal RNA", at positions 355 to 825 of the family's 1533-position model. The record is from RNAcentral.